Molecule: ribosomal RNA, 609 nt
Filed under: Escherichia coli
Lineage: Bacteria; Pseudomonadati; Pseudomonadota; Gammaproteobacteria; Enterobacterales; Enterobacteriaceae
Description: partial 23S ribosomal RNA
Rfam family: Bacterial large subunit ribosomal RNA
Source: RNAcentral
UGGUGGGUAGUUUGACUGGGGCGGUCUCCUCCUAAAGAGUAACGGAGGAGCACGAAGGUUGGCUAAUCCUGGUCGGACAUCAGGAGGUUAGUGCAAUGGCAUAAGCCAGCUUGACUGCGAGCGUGACGGCGCGAGCAGGUGCGAAAGCAGGUCAUAGUGAUCCGGUGGUUCUGAAUGGAAGGGCCAUCGCUCAACGGAUAAAAGGUACUCCGGGGAUAACAGGCUGAUACCGCCCAAGAGUUCAUAUCGACGGCGGUGUUUGGCACCUCGAUGUCGGCUCAUCACAUCCUGGGGCUGAAGUAGGUCCCAAGGGUAUGGCUGUUCGCCAUUUAAAGUGGUACGCGAGCUGGGUUUAGAACGUCGUGAGACAGUUCGGUCCCUAUCUGCCGUGGGCGCUGGAGAACUGAGGGGGGCUGCUCCUAGUACGAGAGGACCGGAGUGGACGCAUCACUGGUGUUCGGGUUGUCAUGCCAAUGGCACUGCCCGGUAGCUAAAUGCGGAAGAGAUAAGUGCUGAAAGCAUCUAAGCACGAAACUUGCCCCGAGAUGAGUUCUCCCUGACUCCUUGAGAGUCCUGAAGGAACGUUGAAGACGACGACGUUGAUAGGCC